This 63-nucleotide transfer RNA is filed under the name Paragonimus skrjabini miyazakii. Its description in RNAcentral is "tRNA-His". Lineage: Eukaryota; Metazoa; Platyhelminthes; Trematoda; Plagiorchiida; Troglotrematidae. The record is from RNAcentral.
UCUUCUCUAGGUUAAUAAUAAACUAUUGGCUUGUGGAGCCAGGGAUCUAUGUUAGGAGGGGAA